ACAUGCAAGUAGAACGCUGAAGGAGGAGCUUGCUUCUCUGGAUGAGUUGCGAACGGGUGAGUAACGCGUAGGUAACCUGCCUGGUAGCGGGGGAUAACUAUUGGAAACGAUAGCUAAUACCGCAUAAUAGUAGAUGUUGCAUGACAUUUGCUUAAAAGGUGCAAUUGCAUCACUACCAGAUGGACCUGCGUUGUAUUAGCUAGUUGGUGGGGUAACGGCUCACCAAGGCGACGAUACAUAGCCGACCUGAGAGGGUGAUCGGCCACACUGGGACUGAGACACGGCCCAGACUCCUACGGGAGGCAGCAGUAGGGAAUCUUCGGCAAUGGACGGAAGUCUGACCGAGCAACGCCGCGUGAGUGAAGAAGGUUUUCGGAUCGUAAAGCUCUGUUGUAAGAGAAGAACGAGUGUGAGAGUGGAAAGUUCACACUGUGACGGUAUCUUACCAGAAAGGGACGGCUAACUACGUGCCAGCAGCCGCGGUAAUACGUAGGUCCCGAGCGUUGUCCGGAUUUAUUGGGCGUAAAGCGAGCGCAGGCGGUUAGAUAAGUCUGAAGUUAAAGGCUGUGGCUUAACCAUAGUACGCUUUGGAAACUGUUUAACUUGAGUGCAAGAGGGGAGAGUGGAAUUCCAUGUGUAGCGGUGAAAUGCGUAGAUAUAUGGAGGAACACCGGUGGCGAAAGCGGCU
This 688-nucleotide ribosomal RNA is filed under the name uncultured Streptococcus sp. RNAcentral describes it as "bacterial SSU rRNA". It matches the Rfam family "Bacterial small subunit ribosomal RNA", at positions 53 to 726 of the family's 1533-position model. Lineage: Bacteria; Bacillati; Bacillota; Bacilli; Lactobacillales; Streptococcaceae. The record is from RNAcentral.